This 465-nucleotide ribosomal RNA is filed under the name uncultured bacterium. RNAcentral describes it as "partial 16S ribosomal RNA". It matches the Rfam family "Bacterial small subunit ribosomal RNA", at positions 28 to 507 of the family's 1533-position model. The record is from RNAcentral.
GACGAACGCUGGCGGCGUGCUUAACACAUGCAAGUCGAACGGAAAGGCCCUGCUUGCCGGGUACUCGAGUGGCGAACGGGUGAGUAACACGUGGGUGAUCUGCCCUGCACUUCGGGAUAAGCCUGGGAAACUGGGUCUAAUACCGGAUAGGAGCCAUCUUUAGUGUGAUGGUUGGAAAGUUUUUUCGGUGUAGGAUGAGCUCGCGGCCUAUCAGCUUGUUGGUGGGGUAAUGGCCUACCAAGGCGGCGACGGGUAGCCGGCCUGGGAGGGUGGACGGCCACAUUGGGACUGAGAUACGGCCCAGACUCCUACGGGAGGCAGCAGUGGGGAAUAUUGCACAAUGGGCGCAAGCCUGAUGCAGCGACGCCGCGGGGGGGAUGACGGCCUUCGGGUUGUAAACUCCUUUCGCUAGGGACGAAGCUUUUUGUGACGGUACCUAGAUAAGAAGCACCGGCUAACUACGUG